This 539-nucleotide ribosomal RNA is filed under the name Meyerozyma guilliermondii. RNAcentral's name for it is "eukaryotic LSU rRNA". It matches the Rfam family "Eukaryotic large subunit ribosomal RNA", at positions 107 to 665 of the family's 3401-position model. The record is from RNAcentral. Lineage: Eukaryota; Fungi; Ascomycota; Pichiomycetes; Serinales; Debaryomycetaceae.
GCUCAAUUUGAAUCUGGCGCCUUCGGUGUCCGAGUUGUAAUUUGAAGAUUGUAACCUUGGGGUUGGCUCUUGUCUAUGUUUCUUGGAACAGGACGUCACAGAGGGUGAGAAUCCCGUGCGAUGAGAUGCCCAAUUCUAUGUAAGGUGCUUUCGAAGAGUCGAGUUGUUUGGGAAUGCAGCUCUAAGUGGGUGGUAAAUUCCAUCUAAAGCUAAAUAUUGGCGAGAGACCGAUAGCGAACAAGUACAGUGAUGGAAAGAUGAAAAGAACUUUGAAAAGAGAGUGAAAAAGUACGUGAAAUUGUUGAAAGGGAAGGGUUUGAGAUCAGACUCGAUAUUUUGUGAGCCUUGCCUUCGUGGCGGGGUGACCCGCAGCUUAUCGGGCCAGCAUCGGUUUGGGCGGUAGGAUAAUGGCGUAGGAAUGUGACUUUACUUCGGUGAAGUGUUAUAGCCUGCGUUGAUGCUGCCUGCCUAGACCGAGGACUGCGAUUUUAUCAAGGAUGCUGGCAUAAUGAUCCCAAACCGCCCGUCUUGAACACGGA